AUGUUUUUGCUUCACGAAUAUGAUAUUUUUUGGACAUUUCUAAUAAUAGCAAGCCUUAUUCCUAUUUUGGCAUUUUUGAUUUCAGGACUUUUAGCCCCGGUUAGUGAAGGACCAGAGAAGCUUUCUAGUUAUGAAUCGGGUAUAGAACCCAUGGGAGGGGCUUGGGUACAAUUCCGAAUAUGCUAUUAUAUGUUUGCGCUCGUUUUUGUUGUUUUUGAUGUGGAAACCGUCUUUCUAUACCCUUGA
Molecule: ribosomal RNA, 246 nt
Filed under: Triticum aestivum (bread wheat)
Lineage: Eukaryota; Viridiplantae; Streptophyta; Magnoliopsida; Poales; Poaceae
Description: partial small subunit ribosomal RNA
Source: RNAcentral